CCCUUAGAUGUUCUGGGCCGCACGCGCGCUACACUGAUGCAUUCAACGAGUUUCUUCCUGGUCCGAGAGGAAUGGGUAACCUUUUGAAAGUGCAUCGUGAUAGGGAUAGACUAUUGCAAUUAUUGGUCUUCAACGAGGAAUUCCUAGUAGACGUAGUUCAUCAGACUGCAUCGAUUACGUCCCUGCCCUUUGUACACACCGCCCGUCGCUCCUACCGAUUGAAUGCUCAGGUGAGCCAUUCGGACUUUCAUCAUGCUGGUUUCCAGUUUUGAUGAAGGAAAGUCUUGCGAACAUUAUCAUUUAGAGGAAGGAGAAGUCGUAACA
Molecule: ribosomal RNA, 324 nt
Filed under: uncultured eukaryote
Lineage: Eukaryota
Description: partial 18S ribosomal RNA
Rfam family: Eukaryotic small subunit ribosomal RNA
Source: RNAcentral